GAUGAACGCUGGCGGCGUGCCUAAUACAUGCAAGUCGAGCGAACAGAUGAGGAGCUUGCUCCUCUGACGUUAGCGGCGGACGGGUGAGUAACACGUGGAUAACCUACCUAUAAGACUGGGAUAACUUCGGGAAACCGGAGCUAAUACCGGAUAAUAUAUUGAACCGCAUGGUUCAUUAUUGAAAGACGGUUUUGCUGUCACUUAUAGAUGGAUCCGCGCCGCAUUAGCUAGUUGGUAAGGUAACGGCUUACCAAGGCAACGAUGCGUAGCCGACCUGAGAGGGUGAUCGGCCACACUGGAACUGAGACACGGUCCAGACUCCUACGGGAGGCAGCAGUAGGGAAUCUUCCGCAAUGGGCGAAAGCCUGACGGAGCAACGCCGCGUGAGUGAUGAAGGUCUUCGGAUCGUAAAACUCUGUUAUUAGGGAAGAACAAAUGUGUAAGUAACUAUGCACGUCUUGACGGUACCUAAUCAGAAAGCCACGGCUAACUACGUG
This 497-nucleotide ribosomal RNA is filed under the name uncultured bacterium. RNAcentral describes it as "partial 16S ribosomal RNA". It matches the Rfam family "Bacterial small subunit ribosomal RNA", at positions 28 to 507 of the family's 1533-position model. The record is from RNAcentral.